This 468-nucleotide small RNA is filed under the name Oryza sativa Japonica Group (Japanese rice). RNAcentral describes it as "sRNA Os01g0211400". The record is from RNAcentral. Lineage: Eukaryota; Viridiplantae; Streptophyta; Magnoliopsida; Poales; Poaceae.
UUUGCAAUGGUCAGAGGCCCUGCUAGAUUUUGGGAUACAGAGACCCUAUGGUACAUAAUGACAGCUUGUGUAAUUAUGCACAACAUGAUCAUUGAAAAUGAGCGAGAUGAAGAUGUAGACUUUGACUAAGAUCAGGAGGACAGUGAGGUGUUGAGGAAGGAGGAAUAGCAACGACGUAAUAAACAUGUGUUAGAGAAGUUUCUAAAGAUACAUAAAGAAAUUGAAGACCGGCAGGUACAUGAGCAACUUCGAGAUGAUCUUGUGGAACAUUUGUGGGCGCUUCAUGGUGCUCGGUAGUUCAAUUUUUGCAUUUUCUAUCAUGUAUUGGGUUAUGUUCAAUAUUUGCUUGUAGGACAUAUCAUUUUCAUGUUUGAAAUUUUUGAACUCAAAUUUGAAUUGUGGUGUUUGAAAUUGCAAAUUUGAAUAUGGUUGAAUUCCACGCGCUAGAAUUAUUUAUGUUUCAAUUAU